CGGAAAUGAGGUCCUUCUGGUGGGAGCAGGGUUGUAUGGAUCACUCUCAGUCCUUUCUCUGUUGUUUUUUCAUUCGCUUUGGAUGCAGUUUUCUCAUCCAUGUGACAGGAUUGUGUAAUUCUGCCCCUUUGAGCCUGACUUGCUCUCAAUCAUCUGUGACCAACUGAAUUCAGGACCUUCAGAUUCCCUUCUGUAUGCUCCAGCACGCUAUGAAGAUUUGUUGCC
Molecule: long non-coding RNA, 225 nt
Filed under: Manacus vitellinus (golden-collared manakin)
Lineage: Eukaryota; Metazoa; Chordata; Aves; Passeriformes; Pipridae
Description: lncRNA (ENSMVIG00005006046.1)
Source: RNAcentral